CCUCAAAGAGGGGGACAACAGUUGGAAACGACUGCUAAUACCGCAUAAGCCCACGGGUCGGCAUCGACCAGAGGGAAAAGGAGCAAUCCGCUUUGAGAUGGCCUCGCGUCCGAUUAGCUAGUUGGUGAGGUAAUGGCCCACCAAGGCAACGAUCGGUAGCCGGACUGAGAGGUUGAACGGCCACAUUGGGACUGAGACACGGCCCAGACUCCUACGGGAGGCAGCAGUGGGGAAUAUUGCACAAUGGGGGAAACCCUGAUGCAGCGACGCCGCGUGGAGGAAGAAGGUCUUCGGAUUGUAAACUCCUGUUGUUGAGGAAGAUAAUGACGGUACUCAACAAGGAAGUGACGGCUAACUACGUGCCAGCAGCCGCGGUAAAACGUAGGUCACAAGCGUUGUCCGGAAUUACUGGGUGUAAAGGGAGCGCAGGCGGGAAGACAAGUUGGAAGUGAAAUCCAUGGGCUCAACCCAUGAACUGCUUUCAAAACUGUUUUUCUUGAGUAGUGCAGAGGUAGGCGGAAUUCCCGGUGUAGCGGUGGAAUGCGUAGAUAUCGGGAGGAACACCAGUGGCGAAGGCGGCCUACUGGGCACCAACUGACGCUGAGGCUCGAAAGUGUGGGUAGCAAACAGGAUUAGAUACCCUGGUAGUCCACACCGUAAACGAUGAUUACUAGGUGUUGGAGGAUUGACCCCUUCAGUG
Molecule: ribosomal RNA, 700 nt
Filed under: uncultured bacterium
Lineage: Bacteria
Description: bacterial SSU rRNA
Rfam family: Bacterial small subunit ribosomal RNA
Source: RNAcentral